Long non-coding RNA from Oenanthe melanoleuca, 472 nucleotides. RefSeq lists it as uncharacterized. The transcript is spliced from 3 exons. Lineage: Eukaryota; Metazoa; Chordata; Aves; Passeriformes; Muscicapidae. The record is from RefSeq and is a predicted model, not a curated record.
AGUUAGUGACUCCAGUAGCAGAAGGAAGAUAGAUUCUUACUGGGUUUCUGACAUCAGGCAGAGUGCUCCAGAGAGGAAAGACAAUGGGAAAGAGGAAAAGGAAGGAUGCUGUGCACCCUUGGAAUUGGUCCUUGGAAUUGAUACAGACAGUGUGAUGAUUUCCUCUGGAGAAACCUUCUGUGCCCUUCUGCAAGUGUGCGAAGGGCUGAAAUGAGGUCUGAGAUAAGAAAAGAUGUGAUGUGCCAUGAAAUGGAGGAAGCCUGUAACUCACGUUUGCUGCCCCUGCAGUCAGGAAUACAGCAGAGAUGGGGAAUGUCACCACUUUCAGGGAACCCCAGCAGCAGCAGCUGCCACCACAGCAGCAACCAGUUUGGCACAGGAAAAGUAGAUAUGGCAGGACCAAAAUAUGAGCUGUUUGUCCUUGUCAGCCAUGUGAUCAGAAGGGGUACAUCCCACUGCCACAGAGCUCCAU